CAAAAGACAAAAAAAAAAAAAAAAAAAAAAAAAAGAUACCUGUCAUUAGGCUUAUUUGUCAGAAAGAACCAGGAGCUCCCGUUGUAGCUCAGUGGUAACGAACCCAACUAGUAACCAUGAUGGAUGCCGUUUUGAUCCCUGGCCUCACUCAGUGGGUUAAAGGAUCUGGUGUUGCUCUGGCUGUGGUGUAGGCUGGCGGCUACAGCUCUGAUUCAAUCCCAGCCUGGGAACCUCCAUACCAAGGUGCGUGCCUAAAAAGACCAAAAAAAAAAAAAGAACAAAAUAUGUACAGAUUAUUUUUUGUCUUUUUUUUAGGGCAGCAUAUGGAGGUUCCCAGGCUAGGGAGUCUCAUUGGAGCUGUAGCCACCAGCUUUCGCCAUAGCCACAGCAACACCAGAUCUGAGCCACAUCUGUGACCUAAACCACAGCUCACAGCAACACCAGAUCCUUAAACCCACUGAGCAAGGCCAGGGAUUGAACCCACAACCUCAUGGUUCCUAGUGGGAUUCUUUUCCACUGCACCACGAUGGGAACUCCCCCCUUUUUUUAAAUGCAGAACCACUACCGCUAAUGCCAUGGUUCAGGUUGUCUUGAUCCUUGAUCAAUUCUGUCCUUGGUUCUAAGUCUUCCUGGGGUUAAGAUUUACUUCUGGGAAUUGGACAGUGUUUCCACCCACCUGGGAUUGCUACACGUUAAGAUGUACAGACUUCCUAUUACUUGAGGUAGGUGACUCUGGACCAGUCACCUCUGGAUUUUUGUUGGUGAUGCUUUGGCUCCCCCAAACCCUACUUUCUGCUGGCGAAAGCUGGGCUUCAGGACUCCAGAGGGGGCUAGUCUUACUGGAAUAUGCCCAAGUCACCCUGUGAGUUGAGUCACCCUCAAUCAUCUUCCUGAUGGAAGUCUGGAGCACCCUCUAGUCAUCAUGGGGUGGAUGGAUCUGGACGGGGCUGAGAUGCCACCUCCUUGUGUACCUCCCCAGAUGCACCCUUGAGACAUCUCUGAAUCAAUGGGACACUAAGGCACAUUGCAGCUUUUCUUUUUCCUUUUGACUGUCUGCAGCACAAGGAAGUUCCCUGGCCAUGACUGAACCCAUCCCACAGCAAUCCUUAACCUGCUGAGCCACCAGGGAACUCCGUGUCACAUUUUUUUUUUAUUUCAGUUGAUAGAACCUUUCACCAUUCAUAUCCUUAGGGCCCUACACCUCUUCCAGAUUUCUUCUUCUUCUUCUUCUUUUUUUAAAUCUAUGGCUGUAUCUGAGCACAUGGAAAUUCCUGGGCCAGGGACUGAAUCCAAGCCAUAGCUGCAACUUAUGCCACACCUGUGGCAAGCCAGAUCCUUUAACCUACUGCACUGAACGGGGGAUCGAAUCCACACCUCCACAGUGACCUGAGCCACUGCAGUCAGAUUCUUAACCCACUGUGCCACAACAGGAACUCCUCUUCCAGAUAUUUUAGACAACUACCGGCUAAGUUUAGACUUGCCCUCCCAAUUUCAGUUUUCCUUUUUCUGUCACAUGGAUGCAUUGGCUUGGGAUGGAGUGAAGGAUGUGGGUAUUUAUUCAGGACAUUGUUUAUGGCCGUGGGGGUGUCAGAUACUACAGAAGGAUAGCAACUGAGUGGGUCUGUGAUACACCUAGUUCAGCAGAGCUGCUGCCCUUGUAGCUCUGGCGGGGCUCCCAUGGGAUGCCAGAGCAGGACUUAGGGCUCAUGUGUAUGAGUGAACAGCCUGGAGGGGCGUGUUGUCUGGAUACACUGGGGUUACCUGGAAGUGGAGGCUGUUGGCGGCCGAGACUGCAGCUUGGGUUCUCCAUCUGAAAAAGGCUCUUUAAUGUUUGGCAUGGCCAUUCUCUGCACACCCUGAGCUGGGCUCCUGUUGCAUCUGUCAACAUGAAGGCUUGGGAAAUGGGGGUGUUGUUCUGUGGAAGGAGGGGGACUGUAAUGCACAUCCAGUGUCCCUUCCUGGGCCCACCACCCCGCCCCCAGUGAGCAGCUUGCCGCAGGGCUGUUACAAAGGCGUUUAGUUUAUUCUCCUCAUCAGUAUCACUGAUAUUCUCAUGGUUCACAUUUCCCAGUGCGGCUCCUCUUCUUACAGUAGUUAAUGUGCAAUCUCACUUACGGGCCCGGGGAAGGGGGGGCUCGGCCCAGGGCAGGGAGGGUGUUGGCACUCCACGCGGACAGGGCGGGUGGUCUGUCCUGCGUGAAAGAGGUGCAGGUGAACGGGUGGCCGGGGGAGGCCCCCACAGUCUUUUUUUGCGUUGGUCAGUGAUUCUCCAUUCAUGUUCCUUCCUGGCUGCCCAGGGUGGGGGUCGGUCCAUGCAGCUCAGGGCUGGGCAGGGUGGGAGAGGAAAGGAAAAGCAGCAGGCCGCCCAGAAACAGAGAGGGCAGGGCGGGAGGGGCGCAGGGGUGGCUCCUGGGGUAAGGCACAACCCUGUCUUUGGCUCUCCUGGUGAGGAGUUUCCUCCCCUGCACCCCUGCCCAGCCCCUCUCCCUCUCCUCACCAUCCCCAGACCAACAGCCUGGGGAGCCAGGGGAACCUCUGGGGCUCCCUGAAAUGAGAGGGCUCCGCCACCCAACCCAGUGCUGCAGGGGCUUGGAGGAGGGACAGGGCCCCACCAGAGCACAAGGCGGGGAGGGGCUGGGCAGGGGUCUGCCCAGGACAAGGGGGUGGGGAGGGAGAAGACCCCGGUCCCAGAGAGCUGGCCCCCGCUAAGGCCUGGAAGGAGGGGAGCGCCUGGGGACUCCUGCUUCCUUUUGGGGUCUGGCUGGAGCCCCAGCCCACCCCUUGGCCUUGGUCGGCCCGGCAGCUUGCCAAGUGACCAGGAUAUUGUGCUUUGGGAUCUACGCUGGGGUGGGGUGUCAAGGCUGGGAUGUGGGGGCAGUGGAGGUGCGACUAAGGUGCUUGUGCUUUAGCUGGGGGUGUCGACUCCCCCCACACACUCGGGCCCCCCGAGGGCUAAGAUGCUGGGACCUGGCUGGGAAAGCAGAGUGCCAGGGCCCCAGCAGGACUGAUACCCCAUCCCUGCAACAAGCAGAUGUCAGGAAGGACCCCCUCCCCGCAGGCUGGCAGGGGCUCCUGGGUGGGUGGGGAGGCCUCCAAGUCAGAUUCCAAGGGUCCAGCUGGCCCCCACCCCACCUCCUGGAAUCCCCCUGCCUUUGGAGAAGAGAGGCUGCUGGGAGCAAUGGGCUGGUCAGACUGGGGAGGAGACAGAGGUGGUGAGAACAAGGGCUAGAGACAAAAAUGUGAAACUGCAAGGAAAUGACACAUGGUGUGUGUUGCGGGGCCAGGGCGGGAGUAAAAACAAGAACCUAUGU
This 3311-nucleotide long non-coding RNA is filed under the name Sus scrofa (pig). RNAcentral describes it as "lncRNA (ENSSSCG00000055092.1)". Lineage: Eukaryota; Metazoa; Chordata; Mammalia; Artiodactyla; Suidae. The record is from RNAcentral.